Molecule: ribosomal RNA, 1116 nt
Filed under: Acinetobacter calcoaceticus
Lineage: Bacteria; Pseudomonadati; Pseudomonadota; Gammaproteobacteria; Moraxellales; Moraxellaceae
Description: bacterial SSU rRNA
Rfam family: Bacterial small subunit ribosomal RNA
Source: RNAcentral
GGCGGCAGGCUUACCAUGCAAGUCGAGCGGAGAGAGGUAGCUUGCUACUGAUCUUAGCGGCGGACGGGUGAGUAAUGCUUAGGAAUCUGCCUAUUAGUGGGGGACAACAUUUCGAAAGGAAUGCUAAUACCGCAUACGUCCUACGGGAGAAAGCAGGGGAUCUUCGGACCUUGCGAAUAGAUGAGCCUAAGUCGGAUUAGCUAGUUGGUGGGGUAAAGGCCUACCAGGCGACGAUCUGUAGCGGGUCUGAGAGGAUGAUCCGCCACACUGGGACUGAGACACGGCCCAGACUCCUACGGGAGGCAGCAGUGGGGAAUAUUGGACAAUGGGCGCAAGCCUGAUCCAGCCAUGCCGCGUGUGUGAAGAAGGCCUUAUGGUUGUAAAGCACUUUAAGCGAGGAGGAGGCUACUUUAGUUAAUACCUAGAGAUAGUGGACGUUACUCGCAGAAUAAGCACCGGCUAACUCUGUGCCAGCAGCCGCGGUAAUACAGAGGGUGCAAGCGUUAAUCGGAUUUACUGGGCGUAAAGCGCGCGUAGGCGGCUAAUUAAGUCAAAUGUGAAAUCCCCGAGCUUAACUUGGGAAUUGCAUUCGAUACUGGUUAGCUAGAGUGUGGGAGAGGAUGGUAGAAUUCCAGGUGUAGCGGUGAAAUGCGUAGAGAUCUGGAGGAAUACCGAUGGCGAAGGCAGCCAUCUGGCCUAACACUGACGCUGAGGUGCGAAAGCAUGGGGAGCAAACAGGAUUAGAUACCCUGGUAGUCCAUGCCGUAAACGAUGUCUACUAGCCGUUGGGGCCUUUGAGGCUUUAGUGGCGCAGCUAACGCGAUAAGUAGACCGCCUGGGGAGUACGGUCGCAAGACUAAAACUCAAAUGAAUUGACGGGGGCCCGCACAAGCGGUGGAGCAUGUGGUUUAAUUCGAUGCAACGCGAAGAACCUUACCUGGCCUUGACAUAGUAAGAACUUUCCAGAGAUGGAUUGGUGCCUUCGGGAACUUACAUACAGGUGCUGCAUGGCUGUCGUCAGCUCGUGUCGUGAGAUGUUGGGUUAAGUCCCGCAACGAGCGCAACCCUUUUCCUUAUUUGCCAGCGAGUAAUGUCGGGAACUUUAAGGAUACUGCC